RNAcentral lists this ribosomal RNA (383 nucleotides) under uncultured bacterium. RNAcentral's name for it is "bacterial SSU rRNA". It matches the Rfam family "Bacterial small subunit ribosomal RNA", at positions 30 to 414 of the family's 1533-position model. The record is from RNAcentral.
AUUGAACGCUGGCGGCAUGCCUUACACAUGCAAGUCGAACGGCAGCACGGGAGCAAUCCUGGUGGCGAGUGGCGAACGGGUGAGUAAUAUAUCGGAACGUGCCCAGUCGUGGGGAUAACGUAGCGAAAGCUACGCUAAUACCGCAUACUAUCUAUGGAUGAAAGCGGGGGAUUGCAAGACCUCGCGCGAUUGGAGCGGCCGAUAUCAGAUUAGGUAGUUGGUGAGGUAAAGGCUCACCAAGCCGACGAUCUGUAGCUGGUCUGAGAGGACGACCAGCCACACUGGGACUGAGACACGGCCCAGACUCCUACGGGAGGCAGCAGUGGGGAAUUUUGGACAAUGGGCGCAAGCCUGAUCCAGCAAUGCCGCGUGCAGGAUGAAGG